CAAUAGCGUAUAUUAAUGUUGUUGCAGUUAAAAGCUCGUAGUUGGAUUUCUGGUGGGAGUGGCCGGUCCGCCGUAAGGUGUGUACUUGGUUGUCUCCCGUCAUCCUUGUGGGAACUGCUCUGGCAUUAAGUUGUCGGGUUAGGGAACACAUCGUUUACUGUGAAAAAUUAGAGUGUUUAAAGCAGGCUUAUGCCGUUGAAUACAUUAGCAUGGAAUAACACUACAGGACUCCUGUCCUAUUUCGUUGGUCUCGGGACGGGAGUAAUGAUUAAGAGGAACAGUUGGGGGCAUUCGUAUUUCAUUGUCAGAGGUGAAAUUCUUGGAUUUAUGAAAGACGAACUUCUGCGAAAGCAUUUGCCAAGGAUGUUUUCAUUAAUCAAGAACGAAAGUUGGGGGCUCGAAGAUGAUCAGAUACCA
Molecule: ribosomal RNA, 417 nt
Filed under: uncultured eukaryote
Lineage: Eukaryota
Description: bacterial SSU rRNA
Rfam family: Eukaryotic small subunit ribosomal RNA
Source: RNAcentral